CCCUGUAGCUCAGUUGGUAGAGCAUUGUGUUUGCAAUGCCAGGGUUGUGGGUUCGAUUCCCAUAGGGG
Molecule: transfer RNA, 68 nt
Filed under: Salmo salar (Atlantic salmon)
Lineage: Eukaryota; Metazoa; Chordata; Actinopteri; Salmoniformes; Salmonidae
Rfam family: tRNA
About the family: Transfer RNA (tRNA) molecules are approximately 80 nucleotides in length. Their secondary structure includes four short double-helical elements and three loops (D, anti-codon, and T loops).
Source: Rfam by way of RNAcentral